RNAcentral lists this long non-coding RNA (384 nucleotides) under Helianthus annuus (common sunflower). RNAcentral describes it as "sRNA HanXRQr2_Chr11g0505541". Lineage: Eukaryota; Viridiplantae; Streptophyta; Magnoliopsida; Asterales; Asteraceae. The record is from RNAcentral.
UGUGUGUGUCGCCCAAAGCCAGAGGAAGGAAAUGGGAAAACCCUUUUCAUCAUUUUAUUUCAGCAAAUUGAAGCCUUAAUCGUAGCUAUUACCCAUGCAUGUUACUGAUUUUCCAAUCAUCUAAGCCUACUAUAACACAAGGAAUAAAGGAAGAAAGCUCAAGUCGUUCCGGAUCGCAAGCGAACACCGACAAAGGUAAAUCGUCUUGAUAGUUGGCGCUACUUUGGAAUGGACACACCAAAUCGCACGCUUCCGCAAUGAUGCUAGUUAAUGGGUCUAAACUUUUGUUAGAAGGUUUUCGUUAAGUUGGGUUUUUUUGUAAAUAACUUAACUUGGAAGGUUGUCGAUGUCGAAACUUUUGUUGUUUUAAAACUAUAUAGUUGU